RNAcentral lists this ribosomal RNA (509 nucleotides) under Leucochrysa robusta. RNAcentral's name for it is "partial 16S ribosomal RNA". It matches the Rfam family "Bacterial large subunit ribosomal RNA", at positions 1891 to 2597 of the family's 2925-position model. The record is from RNAcentral. Lineage: Eukaryota; Metazoa; Arthropoda; Insecta; Neuroptera; Chrysopidae.
UUUUUGUUUAUAAUAUAAAGUCUAACCUGCCCACUGAUGAUUUAUUAAAUGGCCGCGGUAUAUUGACUGUGCAAAGGUAGCAUAAUCAUUUGUCUCUUAAUUAGAGGCUGGAAUGAAUGGUUGAAUGAAAUAUUAACUGUCUCAUUUUUAAAAGUAUAAAAAUUUAGCUUUUAAGUUAAAAGGCUUAAAUUAAUUUAAAGGACGAGAAGACCCUAUAGAUCUUUAUAAUUUAGUUAAAUUAAAUAUUAGUUAAAUAAAAAUUAAUUUAAUGAAGAUUAUUUUAUUGGGGUGAUAGUAAAAUUAAGUAAACUUUUAUUUAAAAAUAAACAUUAAUUUAUGAAUUAUUGAUCCAUUUUUAGUGAUUAUAAGAUUAAGUUACCUUAGGGAUAACAGCGUAAUUUUUUUAAAGAGUUCUUAUCGAUAAAAAAGAUUGCGACCUCGAUGUUGAAUUAAAGUAAUUUUUAGAUGUAGCAGUUUAAAAUUUAGGUCUGUUCGACCUUUAAAUCUUU